UACAGAGGGUGCGAGCGUUGCCCGGAAUUAUUGGGCGUAAAGAGCUCGUAGGCGGUUUGUCGCGUCGACUGUGAAAACCUGGGGCUUAACUCUGGGCCUGCAGUCGAUACGGGCAGACUUGAGUUCGGUAGGGGAGACUGGAAUUCCUGGUGUAGCGGUGAAAUGCGCAGAUAUCAGGAGGAACACCGGUGGCGAAGGCGGAUCUCUGGGCCAUAACUGACGCUGAGGAGCGAAAGCAUGGGGAGCGAACAGG
This 253-nucleotide ribosomal RNA is filed under the name uncultured bacterium. RNAcentral describes it as "partial 16S ribosomal RNA". It matches the Rfam family "Bacterial small subunit ribosomal RNA", at positions 524 to 776 of the family's 1533-position model. The record is from RNAcentral.